ACAUGCCUACAACAUAACAUUAAUGCAUUGGAUCCCAUUAGAACUUUGCAAUUAAUCACUUUUAGUCUAGAGUAGUACUGGGAUGGGUGACCACUCGAGAAGUCCUAGUGUCUUACAUGCU
Molecule: non-coding RNA, 121 nt
Organism: Picea glauca (white spruce)
Lineage: Eukaryota; Viridiplantae; Streptophyta; Pinopsida; Pinales; Pinaceae
Source: Rfam